GAUGAACGCUGGCGGCGUGCCUAAUACAUGCAAGUCGAGCGAACGGACGAGAAGCUUGCUUCUCUGAUGUUAGCGGCUGACGGGUGAGUAACACGUGGAUAACCUACCUAUAAGACUGGGAUAACUUCGGGAAACCGGAGCUAAUACCGGAUAAUAUUUUGAACCGCAUGGUUCAAAAGUGAAAGACGGUCUUGCUGUCACUUAUAGAUGGAUCCGCGCUGCAUUAGCUAGUUGGUAAGGUAACGGCUUACCAAGGCAACGAUGCAUAGCCGACAUGAGAGCGUGAUCGGCCACACUGGAACUGAGACACGGUCCAGACUCCUACGGGAGGCAGCAGUAGGGAAUCUUCCGCAAUGGGCGAAAGCCUGACGGAGCAACGCCGCGUGAGUGAUGAAGGUCUUCGGAUCGUAAAACUCUGUUAUUAGGGAAGAACAUAUGUGUAAGUAACUGUGCACAUCUUGACGGUACCUAAUCAGAAAGCCACGGCUAACUACGUG
This 497-nucleotide ribosomal RNA is filed under the name uncultured bacterium. RNAcentral describes it as "partial 16S ribosomal RNA". It matches the Rfam family "Bacterial small subunit ribosomal RNA", at positions 28 to 507 of the family's 1533-position model. The record is from RNAcentral.